Long non-coding RNA from Hippocampus comes (tiger tail seahorse), 492 nucleotides. RefSeq lists it as uncharacterized. NCBI's taxonomy places the organism in Eukaryota, Metazoa, Chordata, Actinopteri, Syngnathiformes, Syngnathidae. The transcript is spliced from 3 exons. The record is from RefSeq and is a predicted model, not a curated record.
AAGUCAAUGUCGCAGUGGUGGAACUCCUGACAAAGACCAUGUUUGUCAACGAUGUCAUGAAGAUGUCUCACCUCGGACAGACCAGUGGCGUGGAAGCUUUUCACAGUGGGGUGAAUCACUUUGUCCCAAAGAUGUACUACUUCUCGUACAAAGGAAUGAAAAGCAGAAUAAUUCUUGCUGCUAUGCAUUAUAAUGAAAAUGCUGGCAGACCACAGAAAGUGACAAAGGAAGGAAUACACUCCUACUGUAUCAUUUAUACCAAAUAUAAGAGUGGUGGGUAUUGUCUGAGAAAGAUACUGGUGGAUGCAACUUAUGACUAUGUGAAUGACUGCCUGUCAGAGGUGAUGAAACUGAUUGCCAUUCAAAAUAAGUACAGAACUGGUGAUGUGUGUGUCGACCCGCAAUUUUUGACAGCAGCACUGAACAGACCAGACCGGACAAGUCAACCGUUACUGCCGAGCACCAGACUCGAUUCCUCAGGAAAUAAAAAAA